GCCUCGCUAGCUCAAUCGGUAGAGCGUGAGACUCUUACCUUAGUGUUAUCUCAAGGUUGCGGGUUCGACCCCCGCGUGGGGCU
This is a non-coding RNA of Pyronema omphalodes CBS 100304, 83 nucleotides long. The record is from Rfam. NCBI's taxonomy places the organism in Eukaryota, Fungi, Ascomycota, Pezizomycetes, Pezizales, Pyronemataceae.